Salvia hispanica is the source of this 473-nucleotide non-coding RNA. NCBI's taxonomy places the organism in Eukaryota, Viridiplantae, Streptophyta, Magnoliopsida, Lamiales, Lamiaceae. The record is from RefSeq and is a predicted model, not a curated record.
GGGGUGGCGCCUUCCUCGCGCCACGAGGGGUCCAGGUCCCGCCAGUACUGCGGCGCCGACUGAUCAGAGAAAGAUGCACACAAAUCAACCUAUUUCUCUGUUGCAGAAAUUCAUAUCAGGGUGUCAAACUGUAAUAUUAAGAAGACAAAGAAGAGGCCAGUUCCACUUGCUUUCCAUUUGGCUGCUGGAGAGGUUCAUGCUCAAUAAAACUAAUACUCCCUCCGUCCCACCGUAAGCGAUUCACUUUCAUUUUUGGGAUGUCCCACCAUAAGUGAGACAUUUCCCUUUUUAGCAAAAGUUACUACAUUUCGUCUCCCUUACUUUUUUCUCCCACCUAUUUUAUUCUCUCUUCAGUCCUCUAUUUUUCUCUCUCAUACUUACCCUCUAUCCACUUACUCUUUCAAUAUCAAUUACUGAAAUCUCGUUCCCAAAAGAAGUGUCUCGCUUAUGACGGGACGGAGGGAGUAAAUAAA